UUGGGAUUCACCCUGUAGGAGUGCUUUUGUUCUGAAACGUUGAAUUGAAGGCUCACUCGCCGCUGCGAGAACCUAAGAUGCUUAUCGCGAAGAGGAGGCAAAUAAAAUGCGACUCGCAGGGAAUUAAGAGAACAAACACAAGAUUGAAUGGCAGCAAAGCAGCAAACAUGAAAGAGGAUGAAGGAAUCUAAUCCACCAGGACUGAAAAUAAACAAAUAAAUGAUGUCACUUACCCCACCUUCACUUAGCCCUUUGGGUUUGUAUUUCAAAAGUCCCUCAGCAGGGUUUACGCAUCUUUUCUAGUCGCAUUGUUUUCAAUUUUC
This is a long non-coding RNA of Gasterosteus aculeatus aculeatus (three-spined stickleback), 323 nucleotides long. Lineage: Eukaryota; Metazoa; Chordata; Actinopteri; Perciformes; Gasterosteidae. The record is from Ensembl.